This 497-nucleotide ribosomal RNA is filed under the name uncultured bacterium. RNAcentral's name for it is "partial 16S ribosomal RNA". It matches the Rfam family "Bacterial small subunit ribosomal RNA", at positions 28 to 507 of the family's 1533-position model. The record is from RNAcentral.
GAUGAACGCUGGCGGCGUGCCUAAUACAUGCAAGUCGAGCGAACAGAUGAGGAGCUUGCUCCUCUGACGUUAGCGGCGGACGGGUGAGUAACACGUGGAUAACCUACCUAUAAGACUGGGAUAACUUCGGGAAACCGGAGCUAAUACCGGAUAAUAUAUUGAACCGCAUGGUUCAAUAGUGAAAGACGGUUUUGCUGUCACUUAUAGAUGGAUCCGCGCCGCAUUAGCUAGUUGGUAAGGUAACGGCUUACCAAGGCAACGAUGCGUAGCCGAACUGAGAGGGUCAUCGCCCACCCUGGAACUGAGACACGGUCCAGACUCCUACGGGAGGCAGCAGUAGGGAAUCUUCCGCAAUGGGCGAAAGCCUGACGGAGCAACGCCGCGUGAGUGAUGAAGGUCUUCAGAUCGUAAAACUCUGUUAUUAGGGAAGAACAAAUGUGUAAGUAACUAUGCACGUCUUGACGGUACCUAAUCAGAAAGCCACGGCUAACUACGUG